GAUGAACGCUGGCGGCGCGCCUAACACAUGCAAGUCGAACGGUUAAAGCACCUUUUAGGUGUGUAUAAAGAGGCGAACGGCUGAGUAACACCUGGGCAACCUGCCCUCCUCUUGGGGAUAGCCUCGGGAAACCGAGGAUAAUACCCGAUACUUCAAUGUGGCCGCAUGACGACAUUGAGAAAGCUUUUGCGGAGAAGGAUGGGCCCGCGGCCUGUUAGCUUGUUGGUGGGGUAGAGGCCUACCAAGGCAAUGAUGGGUAGCUGGGUUGAGAGACCGACCAGCCAGAUUGGGACUGAGACACGGCCCAGACUCCGACGGGGGGCAGCAGCGGGGAGACUUGCACAAUGGGCGAGAGCCUGAUGCAGCGACGCCGCGUGCGGGACGAAGGCCUUCGGCUUGUAAACCGCGUUCAGCAGGGACGAGGCGAUAAGUGACGGUACCUGCAGAAGAGGCCCCGGCUAACUACGUG
Molecule: ribosomal RNA, 469 nt
Filed under: uncultured bacterium
Lineage: Bacteria
Description: partial 16S ribosomal RNA
Rfam family: Bacterial small subunit ribosomal RNA
Source: RNAcentral